AAGACCUAUAAAGCUGCAGAGCUCACAGAUGAAUUCUCACAUUCUGGCAUUACAGGAAGAGUCUUCAUCGUACAAGUUAUGAACAGGAAUCCCACUACAUCAUUUUCAUACUGUUCCCAGCUAUUUGUGCCAUGUGCUAUUAUAAUAGGGCAGUUCUGGGAGUCUUGGGAGGGUCCCGCCUGACCCUGUAUGAGUGCCGCUAAGACCUGAGAAUUGGAUUACAGCUUAUCCAUAUCAGCAGCUGUAGCUUCCUAACAAAGCCUGUGGGCCCCUGGGCAUAUUUCAAGCAAGCCAGAAUUCACCAAGGACACUUCUGACUGGAAAAGUGGAAUGGCAGAGGAAAAUCUAGUACCAUAGCCCUCUUUCCCGACACCACAUUACCUGACGCUCCAGCAUAUUGACUGACUAACACUACCCACAAACAAUAAGAGGUAAGAAAUGCUGUAGAUGUCUACGUAGAAGCGUUAGCCACACAACAAGAGGGUCAGAGCUUAUUUCCAGCCUGACAACGGAGCCUCUCUAAAUCAGUGUGAUCACAGCCUCACUGACAGGUUGACUAACUCAUGCAGUGCCCCUAAAUCACACACACUUGCUGGGCUCAGAUCCUACUGCAUGCUUUUAUUUUUAGUGCAGUGAAUGGGGGCAUUUCAGGCCAAAGCUGCAAUACCAGAUUGCACAUUAUUUAAUUCCCUAUAUAAAUGUAUCACCGCAACAUUUACAUAAUUGCAAAUAGGCUGGCUUAUAAAUUGAAAUAGUUUAAAUGCAAAAUCGAUAUGUAUAUGUGUGUUUUUUUUUCUCUCUUUUUUGACUGAAUAAAAGUCAGAAUUUCUGUAGUCUUUACAAAUUAUUGUGAUGAAAACUAGAUGUGAUCCGAAACGUGUGAGUGGAUCAGGUCAUUCAUUUUUGAGCCUGAGGUCAUGCAUCUAAUGUGACAUCACACACAUAGAUGAUGUAAGGCAACGCAGUGAGCUCAGAGCCAGUUUCAGGGGGAGGGCUGCUCAUUUGGAACAGAUAAAGGUGCUUUGUUUUCUUCACUUCCUCCUCUCUGGUACAUGACUAGAACAUUGUUCCUGUGUUAUAGUAUUUGCUCAUUUGAAGGGAAACUGAGUUGCCCUUUGUGGAUCUGACCUAACAGCCACAUUCGAGAGAGGAGAAAGUAUAUCAAGAACUAAGGAUAAACUUCCAUUAAAACUGAUAAAUCUUGGAAAUAAAAAUGAAUACACCUAAUACUCUGAAAUGGCUAAUUGAAACACUUAUGCAAUAAUAUGAAGGCAAAUAUAUAGAAUAGUUUUUCAUGGGUCAAAAAAAUAUAUGUAUAUCAAAUAAUCAAACAAUAUACACUACUGUUCAAAAGUUUGGGGACAGUAAGAUUUUCUUUUUGAAAGAAAGAAAUUAGUAUUUUUAUUCAGUAAGGACACAUUAAAUUGUUACAGUAAAUACCAUUUUUUUUCCCAAAUAAAUGUAAAUAAUUUAAAAUAUUUUUUUUAUUUUGUUUUUUAAACUUUGUAUUCAUUGAAGAAUUCUGAAAAUUAUGUAAAUAUUAAGCAGCACAACUGUUUUCAACAUUGAUAAUAAUAAAUAUUUGCUGAGCAGCAAAUUAGCUUAGAAUUAUUUCUGAAGGAUCAUGUGACACUGAAGACUGAAGUAAUGAUGCUGAAGAUUCAGCUAAAUUACUUUUAAAAUAUAAAACAGAUUUGAAUUAUAAUGAAUUUUUUUUAAAUUAGAAUUUCAUAUUACUGUUUUUAAUGAUAUUUGUGUUCAAAUUAAUGCUGAGCAAAAGUUUCAAAAACAAUAAAAUCUUACCAACCCCAAACUUUUGAACAUUAGUGUAUUUUAAGAAGUAACAUUUGACCAAUAGCUUCCCCCAAAAGUUUCUUUUAACAAUUUAAAUGAAUUAUAAAUGAGAAUUAAUUUUAAGCUGUAUUGAUAAAGCUGUUCUUUUUACAUUAAACUGCAUAUACAAACUUUAAAAUAAGUGUGACAACUAGCCCCAUCAUACAGCUCUACCUGAUGUGUGAUGUUGCUAGAAGUUGCUUGAAUAAAGCAUCACCUGAUGGCAGAUAACUCAAAAACGACAAUACUGUAAGUAAUACAAAUUAAAAAAAAAACGAAAAAAAAAGUGGGAAAAUUGAUGAACAAAAAGGUGAUUGAAAAAAUAUGAGAGGAAACCCAUAUUUUAAAAAUAUAUUUUAAUGCUUUUGCAUUCUCUCGCAAAAGUUUUGCGUUCCCCUGAGAAAGUUUGCAUUCUGCCAGCAAAUGCAAAGUUUUGCGGGGAAUGCAAAAGCAUUAUAUUUUUCAUCCUAUCUCAUAUUUUAUUCAUCACCAAUACAAAGUUUCUUGUUAGAAUGCAAAACAUUUACGAAAGAUUGAUCGAUCGAUCAAUCAAUCAAUCAAUCAAUCAAUCAAGAUUUCCCCUCCCAUUCCAUAUGUUUCACCAUCACCAAGGCUCUUUUAGGAUUUUUAGGAGAUUUUUUAGGAAGUACAAUAAUGAGUAUUUGCUUCAGGGGAUUAGAACAAAAUAAAAACAUUUUUAUCGCAAUUUAUCCUUUUGCAUUACUCCUAUACUACUUUGAAAAUAAGAUCCUUUCACAAGGUUACAUUCAGUGCAGAAUCCUGGUCCAUAUAGUGUUUCAAGGCAGACCAGUUUCCCCACAGACUCAUAACAUCAUAUCACCAAAUACAUAGAUAUACUUAGAAGACUAACAGCGAUCACCAGAUGAGGCUUUCUGAGAUGAUUUUGAUAAUAUAGUCACAGUAAAUGUUGUAUUGGGACUCACAUGGGUCCAUUAGUCCCAUGCUUUAUAGGAAAACACAGGAACAUUGGAGAUAACAUAGAGCUGAUAAAUUUUCUAAAAAAACAAUAUCCAGCCAGCUUCCAGCUAAUGAAUCAUAAUGGAGCAUUUAACAACUGUUAUGUGGUUUCCUCACUGAUAAAUUAUGAGAUAAAACAAGCGCUUUAGUCAUGCAACAUCCCAGUUAACAGGGAAUGUUCCUAUAACUUUCACUAACGUUCUUUAAAAAUAUUCUUAAAAUAAUGUUUAUUGAACGUUCUAAUAAUGUUAUCAAUAGUUAUUAUAUGUUCUUGUAAUGUUGAGAGAAAAGUUCUUAGAACAAUGUUCAUGGAACAUCCUUACAAUGCAAUUUACUUGAUGGAUGUUCUUGUAAUGUUGAGAGAAAACGUUAUUUUUGCAUAAUAUAUCAGAAUGCCCUUAUAAUGUUAUUAUUAUUUGCUGAAUGUUUUCAUAAUGUUAUCAUAAAACAUUCUGAGUACAACAUUCAUGGAACGUCCUUACGAUGUAGACCUAAUUUGUACUUGAUGAAUGUUCUCAUAAUGUAGAGAGAAAACGUUGUGAGAACAACGUUCACAAAACAUACAAUGUUAUUUUUACUUGACAAACGUUCUCAUAACAUUGAGAGAAAAUGUUAUUAGAACAACAUUCUCUGAACGUCUUAAUGAUGUUAUUAAUAUUUGCAAAAAUUUUUGGGAAUGUUUGCAUAAAAUGUGAGAACCAUUUUAAUAAAACUUCUUUCGAGUAGGCCUAUUAUUUGUCAAAGUCAAAUCUUUUGUAUAGUGCUUUUCACAAUACACAUUGUUUCAAUGCAGCUUUCCAGAAAAUCAUGAUGUUAUAAUGUUUAUCUUUAUACCUUUAUGCCUUAUAGUCAUAUUUAGCAGAUUACCCAGCUAACAGGGAACGUCCUCAGAACUUUGGCUAACGUUCUAGCAUGUUUCUCUCAAAGUUAUGAACAAACCUUUUUCCAGUAACGUUAAUAGAAUGUUCAUUCAGAGUAAUCUGGGCUUUAAAAACGUUCUCAAAACAUUAGCACAAAAAUGUUAUUUAUACAUUGUUCAAGGAAUGUAUUUUUUGGAAUGUUUUAGUUGAACGUUCAUCUUACAUUUUUUAAAAAUUACUACUUGUUUGAUCAUUAAAGAGAAUUGAAGAGAAGAGAACAUGAAGUCACAAGACACAUGCAUAAGGAAAAAAAAAUAAAUGCAAUUUGUAUAUAAAAUAUACAAGCAAGCAGCUAUAAUACACUGACUUCAUUGAACCUAAUGCAUUACACCAAGCAAUAAGGACUUUGAACUUCCCCUUCGGUAAAAGCAUUUAAUCUGAUUCUGAGCUAAAUUCUCUCAUUGUCUUACUAUUACUCAGAACUCUGUGCAUCCACACCAUUCCACGCCAUUUUAAAACCAAAUCCAGAGUCUGCAGACAACCAUUACACUCCAAGGUCUCUUCAGCCUGAAGCAUCACAAAGCAUUUUGUAAAAUGACAGUGUUUGAAACUCUAUAUGAAACAGUAAAAAAACCCAAACAAU
Long non-coding RNA from Ctenopharyngodon idella (grass carp), 4314 nucleotides. RefSeq lists it as uncharacterized. The record is from RefSeq and is a predicted model, not a curated record. Lineage: Eukaryota; Metazoa; Chordata; Actinopteri; Cypriniformes; Xenocyprididae. The transcript has 2 exons.